UACUGAUAUAUCAAGUGCAACCAUUCAGUAGAAAGGCAGUUGUGUGCGUAGACUGUGUAUGGACAGCACUGAACAAAUAAACUCUAAGGUGAUCGCGGGCUGGUGGACAGAUUUCGUGUCGAGGACACCAGAGUGAGCUGUGAAUCAACACUGCGAGUGACCACAAAAUCAGCCAAACAGUGGAACGAGCGGACAUUUUGAACGAAACGCUGAGUGGCUCAGUCGUCAGCAGUACACCAUAGUGACUACACCGUGUGCCACAGGGCAAAACUUUUCUCUUCGUUACAACACACAGAUCGGUUCUGGGGCCCACCCAGGCCUUUGUACAGUGAGCACCAGGGUUCCUUCCUCGGAGUUAAAACGCUGCUGGGACUAGCCACUCAACUGUUUGUAAUGCUGAGGUUAAGAACGAGUGGAGGUUUACCUCCAAUCCUCCAUACUUCUGUGUUGUAGUGUUCAGUUAAGCACCGGGGACAAUUUCACACCAUUCUUAAAAAAAAGGAUUUUUUUCUGAUACAGACAGUUUUCCGUCUAAUUCAGACACAUUCAUAUUGUUUAAUUUUGAAGCACGAAGACUGUCGCCUGUUCGGCAAGCGCGAAACGUCUAAAUGUAUCGCCAACGCCUACAGUGAAUUUGAACCUAUAAAUCAGAUUUUCUUUCGUCCAAAUUGGGCUGCCCUGUCACUUGAGCCGCCGUUGCACUUACAUCAGUGGUUAUAUUACUGCAUCUCUGGGAACUCUGAAUAAUAAUCCGACCCCAACUUUACUCUCCCGCGCCUACAAGUUUGUUCUCGCCGAUAUGCACCUCCAGCCACCCACAUCGUGAGGUUUGCAUCUGUCUCUUCUCUCGCGGCGAUAAACAUCAUUACUACCUCAACAGCGACUAGUCACAGCAAACACUCGUUUGGCCCCUGUACCCCUUCUGAUCAAUGAUUUUCAGGGCCGCUCCAAAUGAACCACGAGCUUAAUCAAAAAUUCUUAGUAGUACGAAGUCCCCAUGAAUUACAAAGUUUUCUUUCUCUAACACCAGACUGAACGUUGCGCGAUAGUUGUCGGCAUCCUUCUUCGUAUUCGGGAGAUACCGGAUUUGAUUACUCGACCCAGUGACUAGCCAUCCUGACUGGAAUUUGCAGUAGUUUCCCUGGGUCACAGAGGAAACUGCUGGGUAGAACAUGAACCACGACAACAUCCAUCAAUAUCUUUUAUAAUUUAUUAUUCAAAAUCCGCGGUAAAGAUUUCUCUGCAGAUAAGGGACAGAACCUGUCCACUUGCUUUUAUCAAGUAUCCAGUAUAAGAAUACAUGGAGCUUUACCUCACAUUCUCCGUACAUUCCUGAAGAUGGAAGUAGUAUGUUUCAGUUCUUAAAGACGGUUUUUAUUUAAUUGACUGCCCUCAAACAAAGAAAAAUUAUAAAUGGCCCUUAAAUUAGCUGAUGUGUUAAAUCCAGUCGUACAGCGUUUAAAGGACGCGGAGACAUGUUCAGAAUUCCUUCUAACGCCAAAAACAAACCAAGAAGUGAAAAGAUAUGUAACUUCAGUCUUAAGCAGCUUGUGACUACAAGAUAAACCACCUUUCACCCACUAGCACCGCAGUCGGUAACCAGCCACGAUCCAAUACAGUACAGUACAUCUCCGAUCUCUCAUAAACCUGAUACGAUAUUACUUCUUGGUCCAUAUACAAAACAUUGACAUCAAUACGAAAUACGAAAUACAAACAUAUU
Zootermopsis nevadensis is the source of this 1720-nucleotide non-coding RNA. The record is from RefSeq and is a predicted model, not a curated record. NCBI's taxonomy places the organism in Eukaryota, Metazoa, Arthropoda, Insecta, Blattodea, Termopsidae.